UACAGAGGUGGCGAGCGUUGUUCGGAUUUACUGGGCGUAAAGGGUGCGUAGGCGGACUCGUAUGUCGGAUGUGAAAUCCCACAGCUCAACUGUGGACUGUCAUCCGAAACUGCGAGACUAGAGUGCGGGACGGGAGAGCGGAAUUCUUGGUGUAGCGGUGAAAUGCGUUGAUAUCAAGAGGAACACCGGUGGCGAAGGCGGCUCUCUGGAACGUAACUGACGCUGAGGCACGAAAGCGUGGGGAGCAAACAGGAUUAGAUACCCUGGUAGUCCACGCUGUAAACGGUGUGCACUUGGUGUUGGAGGUAUUGACCCCUCCAGUGCCGGAGCGAACGCGUUAAGUGCACCGCCUGGGGAGUACGGCCGCAAGGUUA
This 374-nucleotide ribosomal RNA is filed under the name uncultured prokaryote. RNAcentral describes it as "bacterial SSU rRNA". It matches the Rfam family "Bacterial small subunit ribosomal RNA", at positions 524 to 896 of the family's 1533-position model. The record is from RNAcentral.